Molecule: long non-coding RNA, 684 nt
Organism: Drosophila nasuta
Lineage: Eukaryota; Metazoa; Arthropoda; Insecta; Diptera; Drosophilidae
Exons: 2
Source: RefSeq, a predicted model, not a curated record
UUUAUGACAGAUCAAAUUUAAUAAUAUACUUUCGAAAUCAGACAAAUUUACAAUGAAUAAAUUUAUAGAUUGUCAUAACAAACAAAUACCAAAAAGUGCUUAUAACAGCUAAUUUACUUAUUGAACACUUUUUAUUGUUCUUGCGCCUUUUUCGAGUUUAAAUUAAAAUUCUCUUCGAAGGCGAGUGUCCAAUGCAUGGUGAAGAAAUGCACUGAGCACACAACGGUCUCCUUUUGGAUCUAAUUAGAAGCACAAAAGCGGCUUCUGCAACGGCAACAGCAAUGAGGCGAUGCGAUGCGAUGAGCUUGGCUCGCAUCUAAGCGCAUUAAGUAUGCGCCUCGUGCGCCAAUUAAGUUGAGUCAGCUUCGUAUCAGCAUCAACAUUGGCGUCAGCAGCGUUGUCAGCUCCGUUGGUCUGCCGCGUGCCGCUUAGCGUUUGUAAAUCUCUUAAUCGCUGCGGACUUCAGGUGUGCCAGGAGAUUGUUCCAAGGUAAACUAAAAUUAAAAAAAAGAUGGCAAUAUUAAUUUGUUUUCAUACAACAAACUAAGAGUUUACCUAGGUUUAUUGCAUUAUAAAUAUGAAACAAUUAAAAUAUGCCUCUAAGUAACUCAAUAAUAAACCUAAGCGGGAACAUUAAGUAUUAUUAGAAUACAACAUUUGUGGCUUGAAGUAAAAUGUUUUUCU